Molecule: small RNA, 111 nt
Filed under: Paraphysomonas imperforata
Lineage: Eukaryota; Chrysophyceae; Chromulinales; Paraphysomonadaceae
Description: partial transfer-messenger RNA
Rfam family: transfer-messenger RNA
About the family: Bacterial tmRNA, also known as 10Sa RNA or SsrA, is named for its dual tRNA and mRNA-like properties. Its role is to liberate the mRNA from a stalled ribosome.
Source: RNAcentral
CUAGCGUGCCACUGCGCGAGUUGACCGUGAGAUUCAAAUCAGCCGGCUAAGCAUGUAGAUCUGCCCGGUGAUGGCUUGCGGACGGGGGUUCAAUUCCCCCCGGCUCCACCA